This 249-nucleotide ribosomal RNA is filed under the name Triticum aestivum (bread wheat). Its description in RNAcentral is "partial small subunit ribosomal RNA". Lineage: Eukaryota; Viridiplantae; Streptophyta; Magnoliopsida; Poales; Poaceae. The record is from RNAcentral.
AUGGUUCAACGGUCGGCCGGCCAGGGCGCGCGGCGGGGCCAGGGCCGGCAGCAGCACGACCACCCGACGGCGGCGAGGUCAGGGGGCGGGGGAAGGCGGCAUUACCAGCAGGAGCUGCUGCUGGGGCUGCACAGCAACAAGGGCAGGGGCGCGUGCCGGUUCAAGCGCAGCUGCUUCAGCGAGGAGGAGGACGCCGCGUCGUCCGCCAUGCUGCUGCUCGCCUGCGUCGUCUGCGCCCCCUCACUUUGA